Molecule: ribosomal RNA, 229 nt
Filed under: uncultured bacterium
Lineage: Bacteria
Description: partial 16S ribosomal RNA
Rfam family: Bacterial small subunit ribosomal RNA
Source: RNAcentral
GAGGUCAUGGCUCAGAUUGAACGCUGGCGGCAGGCCUAACACAUGCAAGUCGAGCGGAUGAAGAGAGCUUGCUCUCUGAUUCAGCGGCGGACGGGUGAGUAAUGCCUAGGAAUCUGCCUGAUAGUGGGGGACAACGUUUCGAAAGGAACGCUAAUACCGCAUACGUCCUACGGGAGAAAGCAGGGGACCUUCGGGCCUUGCGCUAUCAGAUGAGCCUAGGUCGGAUUAG